This is a long non-coding RNA of Xiphophorus couchianus (Monterrey platyfish), 645 nucleotides long. RefSeq lists it as uncharacterized. The record is from RefSeq and is a predicted model, not a curated record. The transcript has 2 exons. Lineage: Eukaryota; Metazoa; Chordata; Actinopteri; Cyprinodontiformes; Poeciliidae.
GCAUUUAGUAUGACACUAAUUGCAUUUGUUCUUCAUUAAUUUUAUACAGGUUUACAGAAGGCCUCAAGACACUGGGAGUUCUGGGUGCUGUGAAGCAGCAUCCAGACAGUUUUCGGAAGUUGUUUUGCCACGAACCCCAGCUGUUAACGGCCGUAAUGGACCAACUUUUCACACCUCGACUUUCCCCCAAAGGAAGUAACAAGAGAAGAUUGGAAGAAGACGUUAUUCCUUUGUGGAGGGAUUAUCUGCAGGAUGCAGAAGAUGAGGAAGGUUCAUCCAAGCUACAGAACAUCCUGGUUUUUGCAACUGGAGCAAGCGAGAUACCACCAAUUGGCUUUUCUCCUGGACCAUCUAUUGAGUUUCUUCAUGGCAGCAGUGAAGAAAGCCACACAAAAAAGCUUCCAAUGGCAAAUACGUGCAUAAAUUGUCUGAAACUACCAGUCCUGACUUGUUAUGAAGUGUUUAAGGAAAACAUUGAUUUUGCUUUAGCAAACACUCAAGGAUUUGGGAGAACAUAAGUUUUUCAUUUGAGUGACUGACAUAUCACUAUGCUAAGUUGUGUUGAAAGUGUUGAAAUAAAGUUUAGAGUUUGUAUGUACAUUUUGCAAAGGCUGGUCCAGUUAGCAAAGUAAUGUUCAAAAAUUC